This 461-nucleotide ribosomal RNA is filed under the name Arthrorhynchus nycteribiae. RNAcentral's name for it is "LSU rRNA". It matches the Rfam family "Eukaryotic large subunit ribosomal RNA", at positions 52 to 513 of the family's 3401-position model. The record is from RNAcentral. Lineage: Eukaryota; Fungi; Ascomycota; Laboulbeniomycetes; Laboulbeniales; Laboulbeniaceae.
ACAGGGAUUGAAACCAACAGGGAUUGCCUCAGUAUCGGCGAGUGAAGCGGCAACAGCUCAAAUUUGAAAUCUGGCACUUUUUGUGUCCGAGUUGUAAUUUGGAGAGGAAACUUACGGUGAAGCCUUAAUAUUUAAGUUCCCUGGAACGGGAUGUCAUGGAGGGUGAGAAUCCUGUAUGUAAUAUUGGGCAGAUCCACAUGUUUAGUUCCUUCAAUGAGUCGAGUUGUUUGGGAAUGCAGCUCUAAACGGGAGGUAAAUUCCUUCUAAAGCUAAAUAUUGGCCAGAGACCGAUAGCGGACAAGUAGAGUGAUCGAAAGAUGAAAAGUACUUUGAAAAGAGGGUUAAACAGUACGUGAAAUUGUUGAAAGGGAAGCAUUUGCAACCAGAUUCAUUACAAGUUGGCUCAACCUGACCAUCUGGUCUGGUGUAUUCUACUUGUAUUAUGAGGUCAGCAUCGGUUA